Molecule: non-coding RNA, 171 nt
Organism: Aegilops tauschii subsp. strangulata
Lineage: Eukaryota; Viridiplantae; Streptophyta; Magnoliopsida; Poales; Poaceae
Source: RefSeq, a predicted model, not a curated record
AGAAUAGAACCCGGAAGUUAAGCGUGCUCAGGCUGGAGUAGUGAGAGGAUGGGUGACCGUCCGGGAAGUUAGAUGAUUUGGAAUGAUGAGGGGUGAUUAAAGAUUAGAGCAUAAAUUGAGCAAUGAUGAGGGGUGGUGAUUAGAGAUUAGAGGUUAAAAUAAUUCAGAAAU